UUGCUCUGAUUUGCUUAUUGCACCACAUGUGUUUUUUAUUGAACAAAUUUCUUUGGUGGCGGGAGCAAUCCUACCGCCAGAGGUUAUAACUAAACCAAACUUUUUAUUUACAGUCAAACUUGAUUUAUUAUUACAAUAGUCAAAACUUUCAACAACGGAUCUCUUGGUUCUCGCAUCGAUGAAGAACGCAGCGAAAUGCGAUACGUAAUAUGAAUUGCAGAUAUUCGUGAAUCAUCGAAUCUUUGAACGCACAUUGCGCCCUUUGGUAUUCCAAAGGGCAUGCCUGUUUGAGCGUCAUUUCUCCCUCAAACCCCCGGGUUUGGUGUUGAGCAAUACGCUAGGUUUGUUUGAAAGAAUUUAACUUGAAAACUUAUUUUAACCAACUUAGGUUUAUCCAAAAACCCUAAUUUUGCUAUGGGCCACCACAAUUUAUUUCAUAACUUUGACCUCAAACCAGGAAGAACUACCCGCUAAACUUAACCAUAUCAAAACCGGGAAGAAA
This 502-nucleotide ribosomal RNA is filed under the name Candida tropicalis. RNAcentral describes it as "eukaryotic LSU rRNA". The stretch from base 144 to 297 matches the Rfam family "5.8S ribosomal RNA". The record is from RNAcentral. Lineage: Eukaryota; Fungi; Ascomycota; Pichiomycetes; Serinales; Debaryomycetaceae.